CAGACCCAAAGACUGCUCCUCCAUACUCAGAGAUACCAGCACUAACAGAGCAGCUCCUCUUCUUCAGUACAGAUGCUUCUCAACUUACAAUGAGGUUAUACCCUUAUAAACACAUGGUAGCAAGAAUACAGCUGUGAGAAGAUGCAUUGUGCCAAGAUGAAUUUAGUGAGUUUGGAAGAGGACCCUGAGCCUGAAAUGAGAAUUGCAACCCUGGCUGACACCUCCAUUUCAG
This 232-nucleotide long non-coding RNA is filed under the name Homo sapiens (human). RNAcentral describes it as "long non-coding RNA NONHSAT149182.1". The record is from RNAcentral. Lineage: Eukaryota; Metazoa; Chordata; Mammalia; Primates; Hominidae.